GUCUCUUCGGAGACAUUCAAUAAAAUUGGAAUGAUAUAGAGAAAAUUAACAUGGCUCCCGUGCAAGAAGGACAUGCAUAAAUCAAAAAAUGGUACGCACAUAA
This is a small nuclear RNA of Phoenix dactylifera (date palm), 103 nucleotides long. The record is from RefSeq and is a predicted model, not a curated record. NCBI's taxonomy places the organism in Eukaryota, Viridiplantae, Streptophyta, Magnoliopsida, Arecales, Arecaceae.